CGGACGGGUGAGUAACGCGUGGAAAACCUGCCGUAUACUGGGGGAUAACACUUAGAAAUAGGUGCUAAUACCGCAUAAGCGCACAGCUUCGCAUGAAGCGGUGUGAAAAACUCUGGUGGUAUACGAUGGUUCCGCGUCUGAUUAGCUAGUUGGUGGGGUAAUGGCCUACCAAGGCAACGAUCAGUAGCCGGCCUGAGAGGGUGAACGGCCACAUUGGGACUGUGACACGGCCCAAACUCCUACGGGAGGCAGCAG
RNAcentral lists this ribosomal RNA (255 nucleotides) under uncultured bacterium. RNAcentral's name for it is "partial 16S ribosomal RNA". It matches the Rfam family "Bacterial small subunit ribosomal RNA", at positions 99 to 354 of the family's 1533-position model. The record is from RNAcentral.